RNAcentral lists this ribosomal RNA (301 nucleotides) under uncultured bacterium. RNAcentral's name for it is "partial 16S ribosomal RNA". It matches the Rfam family "Bacterial small subunit ribosomal RNA", at positions 509 to 809 of the family's 1533-position model. The record is from RNAcentral.
CAGUAGCCGCGGUAAAACGUAGGUGGCAAGCGUUGUCCGGAAUUAUUGGGCGUAAAGGGCUCGCAGGCGGCUUCUUAAGUCUGAUGUGAAAGCCCCCGGCUCAACCGGGGAGGGUCAUUGGAAACUGGGAAACUUGAGUGCAGAAGAGGAGAGUGGAAUUCCACGUGUGGCGGUGAAAUGCGUAGAGAUGUGGAGGAACACCAGUGGCGAAGGCGACUCUCUGGUCUGUAACUGACGCUGAGGAGCGAAAGCGUGGGGAGCGAACAGGAUUAGAUACCCCAGUAGUCCCUGUCUCUUAUAA